AGUGAACGCUGGCGGUAGGCCUAACACAUGCAAGUCGAACGGCAGCACAGUAAGAGCUUGCUCUUACGGGUGGCGAGUGGCGGACGGGUGAGGAAUACAUCGGAAUCUACUUUUUCGUGGGGGAUAACGUAGGGAAACUUACGCUAAUACCGCAUACGACCUACGGGUGAAAGCAGGGGAUCUUCGUACCUUGCGCGAUCGAAUGAGCCGAUGUCGGAUUAGCUAGUUGGCGGGGUAAAGGCCCACCAAGGCGACGAUCCGUAGCUGGUCUGAGAGGAUGAUCAGCCACACUGGAACUGAGACACGGUCAAGACUCCUACGGGAGGCAGCAGUGGGGAAUAUUGGACAAUGGGCGCAAGCCUGAUCCAGCCAUACCGCGUGGGUGAAGAAGGCCUUCGGGUUGUAAAGCCCUUUUGUUGGGAAAGAAAAGCAGCAGGUUAAUACCCCGCUGUUCUGACGGUACCCAAAGAAUAAGCACCGGCUAACUUCGUG
RNAcentral lists this ribosomal RNA (492 nucleotides) under uncultured bacterium. RNAcentral describes it as "partial 16S ribosomal RNA". It matches the Rfam family "Bacterial small subunit ribosomal RNA", at positions 29 to 507 of the family's 1533-position model. The record is from RNAcentral.